This 186-nucleotide microRNA precursor is filed under the name Oryza sativa Japonica Group (Japanese rice). RNAcentral describes it as "MIR812 microRNA precursor family". It matches the Rfam family "MIR812 microRNA precursor family". Lineage: Eukaryota; Viridiplantae; Streptophyta; Magnoliopsida; Poales; Poaceae. The record is from Rfam by way of RNAcentral.
AAAAAAGAAAACCCUGGGUUUUCAUGUCUAAUUUUGAUUGUCUGUCUUAUAUGAAAUUUUUUUUAUAAUUCGUAUUUUCAUUGUUGCUAGAUGAUAAAACAUGAUUAAUAUUUUAUGCGCGACUUGUCUUUUUAAUUUUUUUUUAUAAUUUGUUCAAAUAAGAUGAAAACGUUCGGUACGGAAACC